Molecule: ribosomal RNA, 390 nt
Filed under: uncultured bacterium
Lineage: Bacteria
Description: bacterial SSU rRNA
Rfam family: Bacterial small subunit ribosomal RNA
Source: RNAcentral
AGUGAACGCUGGCGGCAGGCCUAACACAUGCAAGUCGAGCGGCAGCGGGCUGUAGCAAUACAGUGCCGGCGAGCGGCGGACGGGUGAGGAAUACAUCGGAAUCUACCUUGUCGUGGGGGAUAACGUAGGGAAACUUACGCUAAUACCGCAUACGAACUACGGUUGAAAGCGGAGGACCGCAAGGCUUCGCGCGAUUGGAUGAGCCAAUGUCGGAUUAGCUAGUUGGCGGGGUAAUGGCCCACCAAGGCGACGAUCCGUAGCUGGUCUGAGAGGAUGAUCAGCCACACUGGAACUGAGACACGGUCCAGACUCCUACGGGAGGCAGCAGUGGGGAAUAUUGGACAAUGGGCGCAAGCCUGAUCCAGCCAUGCCGCGUGUGUGAAGAAGGCC